GUGUGCAGAGGUCCACGCGCUUGGUGCCUUGACCUCUGCUACGGGUGCUGCCUUCUUCCAUCCAGGCUGCUCCCAUUACCCCUUCAUUUUCGCCCCCCAAGGGCUCUUGCACCUACCCUGAGGAGAUAAUAAGCAGCCAGAGCAGGGCCCAGAGGGCGGCUGCCCGGGCUGGGAGGAGCCUCCAAGGUCCCCGUGCCUGGAGCCAACUGUACCGCUUGCGGAGAACGAAGAGCUGCAGAACUGCGUCCCCUCGGAGCAGAUACUGUCCUCUGCGCGGGAGGAUGACUUACCCACAGGGGCUGGUGCUUGGCAGCUCCGAGGUUCUCCCUGCAGGGGCAGCCUGGGAUUCCAGAGGGUUCCAGAGGAUCCCAAGGACCUGCGUGCCCGCGUCUCCCGCCGGGUGCGCGCACUGAGCUUUGCCCAGCGUUCUUGGGCUGCCUUCUCCCCUUCUGCACGGCUGUGGGUCCCAGCAAGACCCAGCAGUAAAAGAGAAAGGGCGGCGGGAGGAUGAGCCCUGCCCAGCUCGGCAGGAGGCUGCGGGCGCACCACGAGGAAGCCCAGUGCCGGGGCGCUUCUUCCAGCCCGGGACCCCCGUUCCCGCUCUCCGCAGGCGGAGAUGGCCCAAGGCUCGGCCCCAAACCCUCGAUUUCCUAUGAACCAGUCCUUACUCCUUUCCUAGAUGAAAACUGAGGCAAUGCCAUAAAAACAAGUGAAGUACUGAUACAUGCUACAACUUGGAUGAACCUUGAAAACAUUAGGCUAAGUAAAAGAAACCUGACACGAAAGGCCACAUGUCCUAUGAUUUCAUUUAUAUGAAAUGUCCAGAAUUGGCAAAGCCAUAGGGGCAGAAAGCAGAUUAGCGGUUGCCAGGGGCGGGAGGCAGAGGAAUUGGGACUGAUUACUAAUAGGUAUGGGGUUUCUUUUUUGGGUGAUGGUCAUGUUCUAGAAUUAGAUAGUGGUGAUGGUUGUACAAUAUAGUGAAUAUACUAAAAACCACUGAAUUGCAUACUUUAAAAUAGUGAAUUUUAUGCUAUGUGAAUUAUAUCUCAAUAAAUUAAAUAAAAAGAGGCUUGAGAUAAAAAAAAAAAAAAGGAAAGAAACCGAGGUGAGUGAGGGGUUUAGGUUAAGAAUUUAGUAGAGUCCAGUUUCAAAUGGCAAUCUCUGUUCUCAAGGGAGCAGCCACGGAGAGGUCUGGGAGCCCUCUUUCUUAUUCCUGGCAGGCCGGAAGGACCUCACUGGAUGGUGUGUAUGUACGUCGGAGAGGAAGAGGGCGAAUGAAGGAGAAAGAUCAAACAUUGCUCUGUGUUUUGUGACUGACUGGCUUCUCUAACGACCAGAGAUGUUUUACAAAUUAUGAAUGGCUAUUAAAAAAUUAAUAUGUACAAUGAUACUAUUUACAAUAGCAUCAAAAACAUCAAAUACCUAGGAAUAAAUCUAAUGGAAGAAGUACGAGACCUAUGUAGAAAACUACAAACAUUGAGAGAAACUAAAUUAAAAAAGGACAUACCUUGUUCACUGAAAAGAUGUCAAAUUUCCCCAAAUUGAUCUAUAAGUUCAAUUUUUUUUUUUUUAGAAAUGAACAGGGUGAUUCUAAAAUUUAUAUGAAAAUGCAAAGGGCCAAAAAUAACCUAGAAAUUCAGACAGAGGAAGAACAAAGCUGAAGGCUUUACAUGACUAGAUAUCAAGAUGUAUCAUAAAGCUAUGAUAAUUAAGACAGCAUGGCAUUGGUUCAAGAAUAGACUAAUAGACCAGUGGAACAGAAUAAAGUUCAGCAUUGAAUCCACACAUAGCGGUGACACUGAAGAGCUGGUGGGAAAGCUGCAUUUGUUAAUAAAUGGCACUGGGUCUAUGUGAUAUACUUACGGGGAAAAAAAAAGAAUCUUGACCCCUAUCUCAUACUAUAUGGUAGGGAAAAUUUUGUGCUUCAGUGGAAAACUGCAUUUUCUGUAGCAUAGCCUCUGGGUUGUCUGAUUUUGAUUUUGUGGCAGCUGUUUUACAACUCUGUAACUUGUAGACAGCUGAUAGCAAUGCAAAAUUCAUGAAAAUAAAUUCACUCUGUCCCCCACCGUGGAAAACCGGUUUUGCCUCUAUUUGCAUACUCAUUUCAAUAUUCGUGAUCUAUAAACGUGUCUGUUCUUUGGAUUCACCUUUGAACAAGUCGAAACACCUUGCUAGAUUGCGUUCUUAAUAAGUUAAAUAAAAUUUUAAUGUGUUCAUUUUUAUAUCUUUAUGAGUCACAAUUUUAUCUUUUUUUUGAAAAUUGUCAUCUAACAAUACACAAAAAUUAAUUCCAGAUGGAAUGCUAAUCUAAAUGUGAAAGUAAAGCAAUAGAGCUUCUAGAAGAUUAUAAAAGAGAACAUAUUCAUGACUUUGGGGCAGCAAAGUUUUCUUAAAAAGGGCACAAAAGCACUAACCACAAAAGAAAAGAUUGAUAACUCAGAUUUCACUAAAACUAAGAAUUUCUUUUUACUCCAAAACACCACUAAGAGAAUGAAAAGGAAAGCCACAGAGUGGGAG
Equus caballus (horse) is the source of this 2517-nucleotide long non-coding RNA. The record is from Ensembl. NCBI's taxonomy places the organism in Eukaryota, Metazoa, Chordata, Mammalia, Perissodactyla, Equidae.